Long non-coding RNA from Oncorhynchus keta (chum salmon), 829 nucleotides. RefSeq lists it as uncharacterized. The transcript is spliced from 3 exons. The record is from RefSeq and is a predicted model, not a curated record. Lineage: Eukaryota; Metazoa; Chordata; Actinopteri; Salmoniformes; Salmonidae.
GCAAGUAGGCCUCCCUUUGCUUGAACACUGACACACACACGCUAGACUUCUGAUACACCUGGUACCUACCCAACUCUGCCUGGAUUGGAUAUCAUCAUGCCCCUGCAGUUGCUUCACGUGCGUGUAAGUUACACUAGCUGCAACUGGCUAACCUCUGUGACACUUUGUGUGUGCCACUGUCCUUUCUAUGCCGAAAGCUUUCCUAGUCUGAAGGUGGUCUGUCGAGGGAGCUUGGUUAUAGACUAGUCUGGUGGUCUGUCGAGGGAGCUUGGUUAUAGACUAGUCUGAAGGUGGUCUGUCGAGGGAGCUUGGUUAUAGACUAGUCUGAAGGUGGUCUGUCUAGGGAGCUUGGUUAUAGACUAGUCUGAAGGUGGUCUGUCUAGGGAGCUUGGUUAUAGACUAGUCUGAAGGUGGUCUGUCUAGGGAGCUUGGUUAUAGACUAGUCUGAAGGUGGUCUGUCUAGGGAGCUUGGUUAUAGACUAGUCUGAAGGUGGUCUGUCUAGGGAGCUUGGUUAUAGACUAGUCUGAAGGUGGUCUGUCUAGGGAGCUUGGUUAUAGACUAGUCUGAAGGUGGUCUGUCUAGGGAGCUUGGUUAUAGACUAGUCUGAAGGUGGUCUGUCUAGGGAGCUUGGUUAUAGACUAGUCUGAAGGUGGUCUGUCUAGGGAGCUUGGUUAUAGACUAGUCUGAAGGUGGUCUGUCUAGGGAGCUUGGUUAUAGACUAGUCUGAAGGUGGUCUGUCUAGGGAGCUUGGUUAUAGACUAGUCUGAAGGUGGUCUGUCUAGGGAGCUUGGUUAUAGACUAGUCUGAAGGUGGUCUGUCUAGGGAGCU